This 28-nucleotide transfer RNA is filed under the name Interochromis loocki. RNAcentral's name for it is "partial tRNA-Pro". The record is from RNAcentral. Lineage: Eukaryota; Metazoa; Chordata; Actinopteri; Cichliformes; Cichlidae.
CUAGGAUCCUAAUUUAGACUAUUGUUGG